Molecule: ribosomal RNA, 450 nt
Filed under: uncultured bacterium
Lineage: Bacteria
Description: partial 16S ribosomal RNA
Rfam family: Bacterial small subunit ribosomal RNA
Source: RNAcentral
GUGGGGAAUAUUGGACAAUGGGCGAAAGCCUGAUCCAGCCAUGCCGCGUGUGUGAAGAAGGUCUUCGGAUUGUAAAGCACUUUAAGUUGGGAGGAAGGGCAGUAAGUUAAUACCUUGCUGUUUUGACGUUACCGACAGAAUAAGCACCGGCUAACUUCGUGCCAGCAGCCGCGGUAAUACGAAGGGUGCAAGCGUUAGUCGGAAUUACUGGGCGUAAAGCGCGCGUAGGUGGUUUUGUAAGUUGGAGGUGAAAUCCCCGGGCUCAACCUGGGAACUGCCUCCAAAACUGCAUGACUAGAGUACGGUAGAGGGUAGUGGAAUUUCCUGUGUAGCGGUGAAAUGCGUAGAUAUAGGAAGGAACACCAGUGGCGAAGGCGACUACCUGGACUGAUACUGACACUGAGGUGCGAAAGCGUGGGGAGCAAACAGGAUUAGAAACCCCAGUAGUCC